GAGAGCGCUUUUUUGUUGUUGUUGUUGUGCUAAGCUAAAAGGCAGAAUGCUACAGGCAUGGCCCUAAAGAAUGUAGCCUGAUGGGCAGUGUAGUCCGUGCUGCAGGGAGAAUGGACUGCCAUACUCGUUAUGUGUCUGUGAGCGAGGGAGGGAGAGAAAGGAAAAGUCCGAGCUGUCACGGAGCAAAAACGGGAGCUGGAAGCAUGUAAAUAUAAUAAUAACCACUGCAGCCAAGAAGAGUGCCUGACGAGCCCAGCUGUAAACUUACAGAGAAUGGUCUGAUGAGAAACCAUCCAGAGAGCAGAAGUUCCCUUGAUGCCAGAGGUCAGAGGAUAAUAGACUGACUGCUUUGAGCUGAUAGGAAGGCAACAAUAACUCAGAUAACCACUCAUUACAACGAAGGCAAGCCAAACAAGCAAACUCCAAUAGAAAGGCAGAAAAAGCAGCACUGUAAACAAGCUAUUGAUGGCUGAGAAACAGCAGCAAGGAGAAACCUGACAAGAAAUGUGUUUCCUGCUCCCACAGAGGAAAAUUCUGACCAUAUUUUAGCUGAUGCGUCAUCAGCCAUCUGAGGACUACAGUCUCUUUUAUCUAACCCAGAUUGUUGCAAUAGGGUUGGAUUC
Molecule: long non-coding RNA, 623 nt
Organism: Oreochromis aureus
Lineage: Eukaryota; Metazoa; Chordata; Actinopteri; Cichliformes; Cichlidae
Source: Ensembl